Molecule: non-coding RNA, 3876 nt
Organism: Chlorocebus sabaeus (green monkey)
Lineage: Eukaryota; Metazoa; Chordata; Mammalia; Primates; Cercopithecidae
Source: RefSeq, a predicted model, not a curated record
CAUGUUGCCCAGGGUGCUCUCGAACUCCUGAGCUCAAGUGAUCUACUCACCUUGGCCUCUGAAAGUGCGGGGAUUAUAGACAUCAGCCACCAUGCCUGGCCCAGGAAUAUAUUUUCUUAAACACUGGCUCUUGCCUAAAAUAUCAGAAGGAAAGGGGAAAAUGUAAAUACAUAUAAUUGAAUUGUUCCUUUGUGCCUUUUGACUCUUAGUCUAUAAGGUAGUUUUUUGGGGAAAAUUAUUCUUGUCCGAGAGUUUCCUUAAGAGCACAGGGUGUUAUAAUUUCUUAUACAGUGGUUUUCAAACCUUUUAGCGUUGAAAAACCUUGAGUGAAACAAUAUAUAAACAUAAAAGCUGUAGUGAGAAAAUCAUUAUCUCGUGUAUUUGAGUUUAUAGUUUGUGUGAAAUGAUUAUGAGGAUACCAUGCUUUCACUUAUCUCUAGACCACUUGCUUUGGAGAUGUCCUAGAAUUUCUAUAACCAAUCUCAGAGCUAUGUGAUGACUGCUCUGUGCAGUCUUCACACAUUAAUCACUGGUUUAGAAAUUAACUUUUAAUUGAUGUGAUAGCAAAGACAAGACUGAAUUUCAGACAUUUCAAUGUUAGAACGGAGGGGAUCUUUCUAAUCACCUUGUUCAUGCCCUUGUUUUAUGAGAGAAAGCUGAGUUUAGAGGAACGCACAUUCGCAUGGCCUGGUAGGCAGAACUGGAAAUAGAACUUGCGUUUCUUCAGUUUCAGCUUUUACUCUUUGGGCUGGCUACCUUUGGAGGAUGACUCUCAGGUCCAGAUUGCGAGGCCAGAGAGGAAUGCUGGAUAGAGCUUAGCAAUGGCUGAAGUAAUGCUGGCUUAAGCCAGGACAACCUGGUUACUUUAGAAGGAAAUCUCCUCACCACCACGGUGCUGCACUCUCGUCAAUUCAUUCUGAGACACAGUAGCAACACCCACAGGUGGAAGGCUGUGCCUCGGGGCUUUGCACUCUUCAUCUCCUCUGCAAGUCAGGAAUAUUUAUUUUACUUGAUGGAAACAGAUUCAAAGAGAUGAGGUAACAACUGAAUAGUAGUACUUGGAGACUUCAAUACACUGCUUUCAAUAAUGGAUAGAACAACCAGAUGGAAGAUCAGUAAGAAAAGAGAAGACGUGACCAACUCUAUAGACUGACUAGACCUAACAGACAUCUAUAGAACACACCACCCAAGAGCAGCAGAACACAUAUCCUUCCCAAGUGUACAUGGAACAUUCUCCAGAUAGACCCUAUGUAUAGAAGUCAAUAACAGAAAGAACUUUGGGAAAUUUACAAAUAUGUGAAAACUAACAGCAUACUACUAAACAACCAGUGAGUCAAAGAAGAAAUCACAAGGGAAAUUAGGAAAUACUUUGAGAUAAAUGAAAAAGGAAACACAACAUAGGAAAUCUUAUGGGAAGGAGGUAAAGCAGUGCUUAGAGGGAAAUGUAUAGCUAUGAAUGUCUAUAUUACAAAGGAAGAAAGAUCCCAAAUCAAUAACCUAACCUUCCGCCUUAAAGCAUUGGGGGAAAGAAAAAAGAACAAACUAAACCCAAAGCAAGCAGAAGGAAGGAAAUAAUAAAGAUUAGAGCAAACAUUAAUGCAAUAGAGAAUAGAAAAACAGUUGAGAAAAUCAACAGAACCAAAGGUUGGUAUGUUGAGAAGAUCAACAAAGCUGACAAACCUUUAGCUAGAAAGAGGUGAGGUAAUUUUCCCAAGGUGACUCCAAUAGCAAAUCGCAGAGCCAAGAUUCCAAAGUAGGACUGUCUGAUGUCAAAUCUGGGGUUGUAGCUUUGUCUCCCACCUGGACUAGGAGUGUCUCGAGGAUCAGGAGCUUGUCUUACUCAUCUGUACAUCCCCAGUGCUUUGCUCUGUGCCUGGCACACGUAGGGGCUCAGGAAAUAUUUGCUGAAGUAAAAUGAAAAGUAAACCUCCUCCCCACCCUUAGCAACCAUCUGUGUGAGAUGAUAAAUUAUGCUUCCAAUGCAGAUCGAGCUGAAUUGCACUAUUUCUGAUGAGAAAAGCUGAAAACAGCAAACUGCUUGUCCUUAAAAAUAAACCCUUCAGCUUCAGAGAUUUGGCCCAGAAAUGAACCGUGUUAUAGCUCAAGCCCUGAGAUUGAGUUUAUUACCCUGGAGCCAGGGGUGAUGGAGUUUGUGACUGGAGAGAGAAACUCGAUCACCUUGACCUGGCCCCUGGAUGCACAGUGCAGGCUGGUCUGCCCUUGUUCCCUGUCCUGGGCCCCGGAGGCUGAACACCACUCACAGGAAGGUGAGUGGUGUUUCAUAUCAUAACCACUCACCCUCUGACUCCACUCAGAGGGACAGCUGAUCCCACAGAGCUCAAGACACUGAAUCUUGUCCACAGACCGAUAGAACAAGGGUUCAGCGAUGGCUUCCCAGCUGAGUCAGACCAAGCCAGACCACAUGGAGCCUAGCUUCCUGAUAUUUCAUAAGGGGUGAAAUGUAAAGAAUGUUCACUUUCAUUAACCCAAGGACAUGUCGAUAUGUCCUGAAAGGCUGGGAGGAGAAAGUGAUCCCAGGUAGAUUCUAGAGCAGGUUGCUACCACAUGUUCAGGCUGGAGUGACAUGGUCAGCUGUCCUGGGGGGUAGGGGAGGACACAGACCCUUCACCAAACGCCAUCUCUUCUUGAUCUCACAAUGGCUCUGUGAGGAAGGCAGGGUGCAGGUGGCUUGCCCAUUUUUCAGAAGGACGAGAUGAGGCCCUUAAAAGUUGCCCUACUCACAGCUGGUAGAAAAACGAAUCCAGUUUUUUGGACUCCAGCAUCUUUCUGCCCCCUCCCCACCCGCCUCCCACCUCCUUGGAGGCUUGCGGGGCUUUGUAUACGUUUCCCACAAAAAAUCUGGGCUGCUGGGUGGGACGCGGGUGCUGUUCACAUUCGUAUGUGGUUUUCCCCGGCUUAUAUGCAACAGCUUCUUUUUCUCUUAAUUUAAAGGUGACUCUUCUGGAAGCCCCCAAAGUGGAAUUGACGCUAAAUUGAAAAGAAGAUCUUUCUAGGGCAAGAGCUUUGUUCUCGUGAAUUUUCUGCCUCACCAACCAUGGGGAAUGUGAGCUGGGGGGGAAAAGUCUGUUAAAGCUGGUCAUUCAUUUCAGGGGGCCGAGGAGCUGUUCUGAAGGAGCAAAGUCUCCUCAUGCUCUUGGCCUUUUGAUCUACUCAGGUUCUGUGGCAGGAAGACAGGGAGGGAUCCCUGAUCACCCACAGCCCUCCCUGCUGCUGUUGAGGCAGCAUGAUGAUGCGGGAUGGAGCCGGAAUUAAAAAUAAAAAAAAUAUAAGCUUGAAUUCUACUUUAACAUGAACAACCUCUAAUAUCAUAAAAUGAGUACAAUAAUAUUUUUUCCCAUAGAAAGUGAUGAACUGCCACAUGUACUUUAACCAGUUGUAAAAUGUCUUCUUCCCUGUAUAUGUGUCUCCAGCUGUAUGCCACCACAAUAUCUGGCACACCUGCACUGUUCCAAAUGUUGGGUUUAAAAAUUUCAUUUUAUGAUUAGAAUAAAAUAGAGAAAUAGUAUCAAUGAAUGUUAAUAUAGCAUUUAGUGACACAGCAGUUAGGAUUAAGUUCAAUUACAUACAGCAGUGCACUCAAAAUAUGGUGGCUCAAAUACAAAGGAUUCAUUUUCUUCUUGAUAUAUAAAAGGUGUAUUUGGGAGUUUUCAGAUAGGGUAUAAACAAAAAGAAAAAAGAAAAAGAAGGUGUAGAGGCAGGCAGUCUGGAGCUAGGAGCUAGUAACGUCAGCCCUCCAUCAUCAGAGAUCCCAGCUCCUUCUGGCUUUCCACUUUUCCAUGCUUAGCUCAUGAAGUCCAUCCUCAGAGAUGCCGCAUGAUCUCGCUUGCUGCUGGAGCACAAGCCAUCGCAUCCGCA